GCCUUCGUGGUGUAAUGGUCAAGGACACUCGAUGCGUAUUCGAGAGGUCCGUGGUUCGAGUCCCGGCGAGAGCA
This 74-nucleotide transfer RNA is filed under the name Stegodyphus mimosarum. It matches the Rfam family "tRNA". Rfam says of the family: Transfer RNA (tRNA) molecules are approximately 80 nucleotides in length. Their secondary structure includes four short double-helical elements and three loops (D, anti-codon, and T loops). Lineage: Eukaryota; Metazoa; Arthropoda; Arachnida; Araneae; Eresidae. The record is from Rfam by way of RNAcentral.